CCUACGGGAGGCAGCAGUGGGGAAUAUUGCGCAAUGGGGAAACCCUGACGCAGCAACGCCGCGUGAGCGAUGAAGGCCUUCGGGUCGUAAAGCUCUGUCUUCUGGGACGAUAAUGACGGUACCAGAGGAGGAAGCCACGGCUAACUACGUGCCAGCAGCCGCGGUAAU
RNAcentral lists this ribosomal RNA (168 nucleotides) under uncultured Clostridium sp. Its description in RNAcentral is "partial 16S ribosomal RNA". It matches the Rfam family "Bacterial small subunit ribosomal RNA", at positions 338 to 524 of the family's 1533-position model. Lineage: Bacteria; Bacillati; Bacillota; Clostridia; Eubacteriales; Clostridiaceae. The record is from RNAcentral.